GGCGGGAUGGCCGAGUGGUCUAAGGCGCUGCGUUUAGGUAACUAAACACUUUCCGCAGUGGGAAACCGCGCGAGUUCGAAUCUCGCUUCCGUCA
Molecule: non-coding RNA, 94 nt
Organism: Parathielavia appendiculata
Lineage: Eukaryota; Fungi; Ascomycota; Sordariomycetes; Sordariales; Chaetomiaceae
Source: the annotation of a RefSeq genome assembly